GUGUGAAGAUUGCAGACAAGCUUUAUCCAAGGAAAUCUGGCUCUCGAAGUUCGGAGAGCGAUGCCUCUUUGGUUUUCGAACAAGCAAUCCUGUCGGGGAUUUGGCUUUCGAGAUUCGAAGAACGGUGCCUCUUCGAUUUUUGAGAAAGCAAUCCUGUUGGGAGUCUGGCUCUUGAGAUUCAGAGAGCGGUGCCUCUUCGAUUUUUGAGAAAGUAAUCAUGUUGGGAGUCUGGCUCUCGAGAUUCGGAGGGCGGUGCCUCUUCGAUUUUUUAGCAAGUAAUAAUGCUAUUCCUUUACCCUUCUUGGUCAUAGCAAUGUAGUGGGAGCUGCAAGCUUCACAUGUUUUAACUUUGUCAGAGCGCUUUGAAAAAGUGGUAUGUGGUAUCUGGAAAGCUGAUGUUGCGUGUGAAGAUUGCAGACAAGCUUUAUCCAAGGAAAUCUGGCUCUCGAAGUUCGGAGAGCGGUGCCUCUUCGGUUUUCGAACAAGCAAUCCUGUCGGGGAUUUGGCUCUCGAGAUUCAGAGAACGGUGCCUCUUCGAUUUUUGAGAAAGCAAUCCUGUUGGGAGUCUGACUCUUGAGAUUCGGAGAGCAGUGUCUUUUCGAUUUUUGAGAAAGUAAUCAUGUUGGGAGUCUGGCUCUCGAGAUUCGGAGAGUGGUUCCUCUUCGAUUUUUGAGCAAGCAAUCUUGUUGGGAGUGUUUUCUCGAAUGUGAGUAAAGGUU
Molecule: long non-coding RNA, 719 nt
Filed under: Malus domestica (apple)
Lineage: Eukaryota; Viridiplantae; Streptophyta; Magnoliopsida; Rosales; Rosaceae
Description: long non-coding RNA (MDOM_LNC018039)
Source: RNAcentral